Sebastes umbrosus (honeycomb rockfish) is the source of this 490-nucleotide long non-coding RNA. RefSeq lists it as uncharacterized. NCBI's taxonomy places the organism in Eukaryota, Metazoa, Chordata, Actinopteri, Perciformes, Sebastidae. The transcript has 3 exons. The record is from RefSeq and is a predicted model, not a curated record.
CGCACACAUUACGCACACAAACGCUUGGCUGAGAAAGCACUCAACACUUCUCAGCGGUCACCUGUAUAGAGAGAGAGGUCUGUGGUGUUAUUGAGCUGAAAGAGUACACUAACACAAUCAAUGAUCCACUGGCUCACUUCACACCCAUUAGUCAAUCAUUAAUUCCAGUGGAAUGUAAAAAAGAGCCUGCAGGUUCCCAUGCAGAAGAGGAGAGGGGAAAAAAAGAGAGAAAACAGUAGUGUGAGGUUCCCAUGCAGAAGAAACGAGGAGAGGAAUAAAAAAGAGAGAACAUAGUAGUGUGAGGUUUGCAGCAGUGUGAGGUUCCCAUGCAGAAGAAACGAGGAAAGGGAAAAAAAAAAAGAUAGAAAAUAGUAGUGUGAGGUUUGCAGCAAGCUAAAAAGAGAGUGAGGAAAAAGAAAAAGUCCUGCGUCUUUUACGCACAAAAUAGAGGAGGAAAAAAGAGGAUACCUGUGCGCUCCCAGGACAAAUG